CCUACGGGAGGCAGCAGUAGGGAAUCUUCCACAAUGGGCGCAAGCCUGAUGGAGCAACGCCGCGUGAGUUAAGACGGCCUUCGGGUUGUAAAGCUCUGUCUGUCGGGACGAAGACCGGCCCGGAAGGGCCGGGGAGCCGGUACCGACGGAGGAAGCCCCUGCAAACUACGUGCCAGCAGCCGCGGUAAGACGUAGGGGGCAAGCGUUGUCCGGAAUUACUGGGCGUAAAGGGCGUGUAGGCGGUGCGAUACGUAGCGGUUUUAAGCCUCCGGCUCACCCGGAGGAGGGCGGCUAAACGGUCGCGCUAGAGGGCAGGAGAGGUGCGUGGAAUUCCUGGUGGAGCGGUGAAAUGCGUAGAGAUCAGGAAGAACACCCGUGGCGAAGGCGGCGCACUGGCCUGGCCCUGACGCUGAGGCGCGACAGCGUGGGGAGCGAACGGGAUUAGAUACCCCGGUAGUCCACGCCGUAAACGAUGGGUACUAGGUGUCGCCCGGGUCCACCGGGCGGUGCCGGAGCUAACGCACUAAGUACCCCGCCUGGGGAGUACGGCCGCAAGGUUGAAACUCAAAGGAAUUGACGGGG
RNAcentral lists this ribosomal RNA (582 nucleotides) under uncultured bacterium. Its description in RNAcentral is "bacterial SSU rRNA". It matches the Rfam family "Bacterial small subunit ribosomal RNA", at positions 338 to 918 of the family's 1533-position model. The record is from RNAcentral.